This 554-nucleotide long non-coding RNA is filed under the name Mytilus galloprovincialis (Mediterranean mussel). Lineage: Eukaryota; Metazoa; Mollusca; Bivalvia; Mytilida; Mytilidae. The record is from RNAcentral.
UCCACUUUAACAUUUAUGUAUGUAAAAAUUUCGAAAUAGAAUUGUUUAAAAUAAGUUACUACACAAUGCUAAACGUAGCAUUUUCACAAUAUUAAAUUGAGAGUGGAAAUGGGGAAAAUGUCAAAGAGGGUGGUCCUUGGAUGGCCCUAAAUAAAAUGUGUACUAGCUCAGUGAAAAUGGACGUCACACUUAACUCCAAAACAUAUAAAUGAACUAAAAUUAAAACAAAACAAACAAGACUAACAAAGGCCAGAGGCUCAUGACUUGAGACAGGCGCAAACAUGCGGCGGGGGUUAACAUGUUUUGUGAGAUCUCAACCCUCCCCCUAUACCUCUAGACAAUGUAGAAUAAAGAAACACACAGCAAUACGUACAGUAAAACUCAGUUUAAUAGAAGUCCAAGUCCGAUGUCAGAACAGUCAACAAAACGAACUAAGCAAAAUAAUAAUUAUACAUAAAUUAACAAAGGACUACUAGCAGUUACUGACAUGCCAGCUCCACCCCCCCCCCCCCCCCCAAUUUAACUGAUUGAAAGAUUAAUGCAUAUUUGUCAGU